This 247-nucleotide ribosomal RNA is filed under the name uncultured Aphelidea. RNAcentral's name for it is "partial small subunit ribosomal RNA". It matches the Rfam family "Eukaryotic small subunit ribosomal RNA", at positions 587 to 841 of the family's 1831-position model. Lineage: Eukaryota; Fungi; Aphelidiomycota; Aphelidea. The record is from RNAcentral.
AGCUCCAAUAGCGUAUAUUAAAGUUGUUGCAGUUAAAAAGCUCGUAGUUGAACUUCAGGCUAGGUUGGUCGGUCCACCUAACAGUGAGUACUGACUGGCCUGGUCUUCCUUCUGGGUACUUAGGCUGCUUUUAACUGGGUGGGUUAAUGGUCCAGGACUUUUACUUUGAAAAAAUUAGAGUGUUCAAAGCAGGCCUACGCUUGAAUACAUUAGCAUGGAAUAAUAGAAUAGGACUUUGGUUCUAUUU